UACUCCCUCUGGCGGCGUGCUUAACACAUGCAAGUCGAACGGAAAGGCCCUGCUUUUGUGGGGUGCUCGAGUGGCGAACGGGUGAGUAACACGUGAGUAACCUGCCCUUGACUUUGGGAUAACUUCAGGAAACUGGGGCUAAUACCGGAUAGGAGCUCCUGCUGCAUGGUGGGGGUUGGAAAGUUUCGGCGGUUGGGGAUGGACUCGCGGCUUAUCAGCUUGUUGGUGGGGUAGUGGCUUACCAAGGCUUUGACGGGUAGCCGGCCUGAGAGGGUGACCGGCCACAUUGGGACUGAGAUACGGCCCAGACUCCUACGGGAGGCAGCAGUGGGGAAUAUUGCACAAUGGGCGGAAGCCUGAUGCAGCAACGCCGCGUGCGGGAUGACGGCCUUCGGGUUGUAAACCGCUUUCGCCUGUGACGAAGCGUGAGUGACGGUAAUGGGUAAAGAAGCACCGGCUAACUACGUG
This 468-nucleotide ribosomal RNA is filed under the name uncultured bacterium. Its description in RNAcentral is "partial 16S ribosomal RNA". It matches the Rfam family "Bacterial small subunit ribosomal RNA", at positions 36 to 507 of the family's 1533-position model. The record is from RNAcentral.